Molecule: ribosomal RNA, 90 nt
Filed under: Shewanella algae
Lineage: Bacteria; Pseudomonadati; Pseudomonadota; Gammaproteobacteria; Alteromonadales; Shewanellaceae
Description: partial 16S ribosomal RNA
Rfam family: Bacterial small subunit ribosomal RNA
Source: RNAcentral
GGGAGGGCGUUUACCACGGUGUGGUUCAUGACUGGGGUGAAGUCGUAACAAGGUAGCCCUAGGGGAACCUGGGGCUGGAUCACCUCCUUA